CAGUCGCCGCGGGAAUACGUAGGGCGCAAGCGUUAUCCGGAAUUAUUGGGCGUAAAGAGCUCGUAGGCGGUUUGUCGCGUCUGCCGUGAAAGUCCGGGGCUCAACCCCGGAUCUGCGGUGGGUACGGGCAGACUAGAGUGAUGUAGGGGAGACUGGAAUUCCUGGUGUAGCGGUGAAAUGCGCAGAUAUCAGGAGGAACACCGAUGGCGAAGGCAGGUCUCUGGGCAUUAACUGACGCUGAGGAGCGAAAGCAUGGGGAGCGAACAGGAUUAGAUACCCCGGUAGUCCCUGUCUCUUAUAC
Molecule: ribosomal RNA, 301 nt
Filed under: uncultured bacterium
Lineage: Bacteria
Description: partial 16S ribosomal RNA
Rfam family: Bacterial small subunit ribosomal RNA
Source: RNAcentral